Molecule: ribosomal RNA, 948 nt
Filed under: uncultured bacterium
Lineage: Bacteria
Description: bacterial SSU rRNA
Rfam family: Bacterial small subunit ribosomal RNA
Source: RNAcentral
GAUGAACGCUAGCGACAGGCCUAACACAUGCAAGUCGAGGGGCAGCACAAGGAGCAAUCUGAGGUGGCGACCGGCGCACGGGUGAGUAACACGUAUGCAACCUGCCUGUAAGCGGGGAAUAACCCGUUGAAAGACGGACUAAUACCGCAUAAUACUAAAUUACUGCAUGGUAAUUUAUUUAAACAUUUAUGGCUUACAGAUGGGCAUGCGCAUGAUUAGCUAGUUGGAGAGGUAACGGCUCCCCAAGGCAACGAUCAUUAGGGGUUCUGAGAGGAAGGUCCCCCACACUGGUACUGAGACACGGACCAGACUCCUACGGGAGGCAGCAGUGAGGAAUAUUGGUCAAUGGACGAGAGUCUGAACCAGCCAAGUCGCGUGCAGGAAGAAUGUCCUAUGGAUUGUAAACUGCUUUUGCAGGGGAAUAAAGUGCAUCACGUGUGAUGUUUUGUAUGUACUCUGCGAAUAAGGAUCGGCUAACUCCGUGCCAGCAGCCGCGGUAAUACGGAGGAUCCGAGCGUUAUCCGGAUUUAUUGGGUUUAAAGGGUGCGUAGGCGGGAUAAUAAGUCAGUGGUGAAAGUUUGCAGCUUAACUGUAAAAUUGCCGUUGAAACUGUUAUUCUUGAGAGUAGAUAAGGUAGGCGGAAUGUGUUGUGUAGCGGUGAAAUGCAUAGAUAUAACACAGAACCCCGAUUGCGAAGGCAGCUUACCGGGCUACAUCUGACGCUGAUGCACGAAAGCGUGGGGAUCAAACAGGAUUAGAUACCCUGGUAGUCCACGCAGUAAACGAUGAAUACUAGCUGUAUGCGAUAUAUUGUAUGUGGCAAAGCGAAAGCAUUAAGUAUUCCACCUGGGGAGUACGUUCGCAAGAAUGAAACUCAAAGGAUUGACGGGGGCCCGCACAAGCGGAGGAACAUGUGGUUUAAUUCGAUGAUACGCGAGGAACCUUACC